ACUAAGGGUGAGAACACAGACAACAGCAAGUAAGGGUGACAGAUCUUGAGUCCAGCCUAUCCAUCAAGGGACCCAAAGGGGUGACCCAUGUGGAACUGGCAUCACAGAAAACAGACAGAGCCCAUUCCCAGGAGGGUCAAGAAGGGAGUUGGGAAACCAUAGGGUUCAAUGAGGAGGGAGAUUCUACCAUUACCUUCACACCUAAGUGACUGACCAAGUUCCCUAAAAAGUCGCCUGGACUCACCUGCUUCUACUCUCCACUCUAUCCUGCACUGUCACCACAAUCUUCCUCCUCAUAUCCUGCAUCCUCUAUCCCAGACAACACCCCGCUCUCCCCCACUCCACCAUCCAUCCUGUUCUCCAUGCUAGAAUCCUAGGAGUCAACCUCCUCCCUACCUCUCCCUCAACUUGGCACUAUUUUCAUUUGGUCUUUAUCGAAAUGUCUCAACUCCCUUCCUCUCCUAUCACUGACUCAGCAUCUGACCCCAGGCUGCUCACUGGUCUCCUGUUUGUCUGUCUCUCUCUCUCUAGUCUUCCAUACUAGCCCUAAAGGGCUUUGUAAUAAAUGGAUCUGACUAUAUCACUGUGAUUAAACCCUUCCAUGGCUUCCUGCCUGGAGAAGAGAAAUGAGUGUAUUAGCCCAGUGUUCUUUGUGCUGACCUCACAGAACUCUUGCGGUUCCCUAAAUCCACCAGACUUUCUCCUGUGCCUUUAAUGGUUCCUCAUGCUGGAUGGCACUUCCUGGACUAACUCCUCUAAGUCUUUUAAUACCCAGCUUGAGUAUAACCCUCCUCCGAAAGGCUUCCCUGACAACUCCAUCCCCAUUCUGCUUUAAGUCCCCUGCCCUGUAUUCUCUGAAAACCAGCUGAGCACUUACCAUCCUCUACCAUAACAAGUCAUGAAAGGGUCUGACCCCUGACCCUCACCAGAAGGUAAGCUCUUUAAUGGGGACCUUCCACUGCUCAUCCAUCCACUGCCACAGAGGCGGCCAUGGGAAAGAUUCACAGGACAGAGUAAUUCCCAUUCAUGGCAUGCUUGCUCACAGGCAGGAGUGCCUCAGGCACUCUGUUACACCCGACAACCUCCUGUAAGGUAGGCACGUUUCUGCUUUCUUACAGCUAAGUGAGCAGCAGAGUGAGGAUUUGAACCCUCUGACCCCAUAUAUAUGUUUUUUUUUUUUUUUUUGGAGACUGAGUCUUGCCCUGUUGCGCAGGUUGAAGUGCUGCGUGAUCUCAGCUCAAUGCAACCUCUGCCUCCUGGGUUCAAGUGAUUCUCCUGCCUCAGCCUCCUGAGUAGCUGGGACUGCAGGUGCCCUCCACCACGCCCAGCUGAUUUUUGUAUUUUUAGUAGAGACGGAGUUUCAGCAUGUUGGCCAGGCUGGUCUCGAACUCCUGACCUCAAGUGACUGGCCUGCCUCACCCUCCCAAAGUGCUGGGAUUACAGGUAUGAGCCACCACGCCUGGCCCCCAUAUUCUUAACUACCAAGCUGUACUUAUGCUCUCUGGGAUCCUUCACAAAACAUGAAUGUCACUGCUCUGCUGUAUGCCUCCAGUCUCCCCAUCUCUCCUCUCCUCCAUCAUCAUACCUUUUCCAGCCUGUCCCUUCUGCAGUUCUUGGCUCACCAUCUGAGUAUCUAUGAGACUGCUUAAAGUCUCUCUGCCUGGAAAUAAAACUUGCAAAUGAAAGCCUUCUGAAACCACAUCUUGUUCUGAAUUGUCACCUUUGCCUCUGCUCAUCUCUGCCACAGAUAUCCAGCUCACUCUCCUCACCACACCUGUGCUCAUGUUGUUCCCUCUGCCUCAAAUGCACCGACAGACAUGUAAUAAGCACCCCUUAUGUGCCAAGCAUGAUGUCAGGAGCUGGGAAUACAGGGUGAAUCAGCUAAGCCCUGCUUCCAAGAGAGGCAUGCCGUUAAAGGGGAAAGACGCUUAUGUAGUAACUAUGCAACUCAAGUGUCACUACUAGAGGAUAUGGAGGUAUAUUUGUUAGUAAAGGCAUGGCUACCUAUGCUUGGAAACAGCCAAUAUGCUGAGGUGACAGAAACAGAAAGCAGAGGUUGUGAGAGCCUGUGCAUGAGUUAGUCACCUAUGAGGGACACUGAUGUGCUGAAGAGGCUGCAGAGGCCUCAUGUACAGGAGCCUGAGCAUGGUGAGCCAAGAAGGGAGCUGCAGACUGACUGGGUAGGGUACAGCCUGAGACUCCUGUGGUCUCUGGUUCAGGGCCCUGCUUCUCAUGCUGGGGACGUCUCUACCAUGUAAUACCCCAGGAAUCCUCACCACCUAACCUGAUCCACCUGGAGGAACCCCGGCUUGGGAGAUGGCAGGGCAGAUGCUCUUGGCAGCAUUCAGGCCUGGGCUUAAGUUACUCCCUGAUGUGGCCAUCUGCUAUGCCCCAGGGAUAGGAAGGAAAAAUGGGCCUGAAGGAAAGGAGGUAAAAGAAGUAGAAUGAGGGUCAACACACUCAGGGAGCACAAGGCAGGAAAGUAGAGAGACCAAAUGAGAGAGUGGAGGGCAUACCCUUGUUGAGUCUGGAAGGAAAGAGGAGGAGCUGUGGAGAGGCACCAGGAUAACCCUGUGCUGAAGGGCAAGGUAGAGAGACACCAGAGUGAGGGUCUAUAAAAAUGUCCUGAUCCCCCCAGCUCCCAGGACGAGGGGAUGGAAGCCAGCGAGAGGCAGAGUGAAGUCCUGAAGCUGAGCGUUGUAAUGUCUGGGUAGACCUGUGGGAGAGCUGGCUGCAGCCUCAGGAUGGAGGUCUGGAAGACAGAAGUUUCAGACCAAUUGGCAAAAGAGGGACAACCCAACUUCCUCAUGGGGUGACUGGAGGAUUGAACAAGCAAGUCCUAAGAGCUGCUACUCAAUCAUUCAUCAAUUUAGAGCUGUCUGCUGGGCCCUAGAGCAGUUCUCAAGGCUGGGAAGUCCAAGGCCAACAGACUGCCUCUGGUGAGGGUCCUCUUGCUGGUGGAGACUCUGCAGAGCCCCAAGAUGGCACAAGGCAUAACAUGGUGAGGGAACUGAAGCAAUGUCAAGCUGGCUUUUACAACAGACCCACUCUCAUGAUAACCCAUUAUUCCAUGAAUAAAUGAAUUCAUUCCCACAGGCAGAGCCUUCAUGACCUAAUCAUCUCUUAAAGUCCCCACCUUGGCCGGGCGUGGUGGCUCACACCUGUAAUCCCAGCACUUUGGGAGGCUGAGGCAGGCAGAUCACGAGGUCAGGAGAUCGAGACCAUCCUGGCUAACACAGUGAAACCCCGCCUCUA
Symphalangus syndactylus (siamang) is the source of this 3255-nucleotide long non-coding RNA. RefSeq lists it as uncharacterized. Lineage: Eukaryota; Metazoa; Chordata; Mammalia; Primates; Hylobatidae. The record is from RefSeq and is a predicted model, not a curated record.